AAAGUCGUAACAAGGUUUCCGUAGGUGAACCUGCGGAAGGAUCAUUACCAACCGAUGCGAGUCCCCCUCUCCGGAGGUGCGGACGCGUGUUACACCCCUUGUGAACCAUACCUUCUGUGCUUCGGUGGCGCGACCCCGACCUCCCGCUUCACCGCGGGGGAACGGGGACCGUAAGCCCACCGGCCGUAAACCCCACCGGAAAUUUUGAAUGUCUGAAUACAAUACAAAAACAAGUUAAAACUUUCAACAACGGAUCUCUUGGUUCUC
Molecule: unclassified non-coding RNA, 267 nt
Filed under: Ascomycota sp.
Lineage: Eukaryota; Fungi; Ascomycota
Description: partial contains small subunit ribosomal RNA, internal transcribed spacer 1, and 5.8S ribosomal RNA
Rfam family: Eukaryotic small subunit ribosomal RNA (bases 1-47)
Source: RNAcentral